UACGGAGGAUGCAAGCGUUAUCCGGAAUUACUGGGCGUAAAGCGUGCGCAGGCGGUUUUGUAAGCCAGAUGUGAAAUCCCCGGGCUUAACCUGGGAAUGGCAUUUGGGACUGCAAGGCUGGAGUGCGGCAGAGGAGACUGGAAUUCCUGGUGUAGCAGUGAAAUGCGUAGAUAUCAGGAGGAACACCGAUGGCGAAGGCAGGUCUCUGGGCUGACACUGACGCUCAUGCACGAAAGCGUGGGGAGCAAACAGG
RNAcentral lists this ribosomal RNA (253 nucleotides) under uncultured bacterium. RNAcentral describes it as "partial 16S ribosomal RNA". It matches the Rfam family "Bacterial small subunit ribosomal RNA", at positions 524 to 776 of the family's 1533-position model. The record is from RNAcentral.